Molecule: ribosomal RNA, 492 nt
Filed under: uncultured bacterium
Lineage: Bacteria
Description: partial 16S ribosomal RNA
Rfam family: Bacterial small subunit ribosomal RNA
Source: RNAcentral
AGUGAACGCUGGCGGUAGGCCUAACACAUGCAAGUCGAACGGCAGCACAGUAAGAGCUUGCUCUUACGGGUGGCGAGUGGCGGACGGGUGAGGAAUACAUCGGAAUCUACUUUUUCGUGGGGGAUAACGUAGGGAAACUUACGCUAAUACCGCAUACGACCUACGGGUGAAAGCAGGGGAUCUUCGGACCUUGCGCGAUUGAAUGAGCCGAUGUCGGAUUAGCUAGUUGGCGGGGUAGAGGCCCACCAAGGCGACGAUCCGUAGCUGGUCUGAGAGGAUGAUCAGCCACACUGGAACUGGAACACGGUCCAGACUCCUACGGGAGGCAGCAGUGGGGAAUAUUGGACAAUGGGCGCAAGCCUGAUCCAGCCAUACCGCGUGGGUGAAGAAGGCCUUCGGGUUGUAAAGCCCUUUUGUUGGGAAAGAAAAGCAGCAGGUUAAUACCCCGCUGUUCUGACGGUACCCAAAGAAUAAGCACCGGCUAACUUCGUG